This is a long non-coding RNA of Mauremys reevesii (Reeves's turtle), 942 nucleotides long. RefSeq lists it as uncharacterized. The record is from RefSeq and is a predicted model, not a curated record. The transcript is spliced from 3 exons. Lineage: Eukaryota; Metazoa; Chordata; Testudines; Geoemydidae.
GCUUAUUUAAAUGUCAUAAAAGGGAGGUGUAUUUAGAAGGGAGACUUCUGAAGCACACUCCAAUAAACAAAAGGUGAGAGGGCACAGGACUGCUCCAGCAGUCUCCUUAAGACACUGCCUGCAACAGCUGAUUAAUCAUUGUUGAUGACUGCAGUUUUUCCCAUCCUUCCCGAUUUACAUCUGUUCAGACCAAUUCAAAUAUGAUCGUUAUUUAGCGUGUCCCCAGAAGUUGACUUCAGAUGGUGUUUCCUGCUUUCCCUCGGAAGAAUAGGAUUGUUCCUUGGUCCAAAGUAGAUGCCAAGAAUGGAACUCCAUAGUCAUUGCAGAAAGACAAUAUUUGAAGUCUGUCAUCGUUGCAGACAAUGCAUAUUCCCUUAAGCUACUGAGCAUGAAUGUCCAUCACUUGUCCACUCAUUGCUGGGUCUCCUGUAUUAAGCAUUGUGGGGCUAGAUGCUGACAUUGGCAUUCCAGGGUGGGGUGGUCCUCCAUGCAUCAUCAUUGCUGGGUGGUGAGGGUGUCCAGGAAUGUAGGUAUGCAUGGGGGGCCCAUGACGCAGCUGAGCAGGAUGUGGGGGCAUCUGGGGCGGGGUAUAACUUGGCUGUCCCAUAUUCAUACCCAUUGGACUACCCCGAGACACAUAAUCCCCUGGCAUAUUUUGCAGCCCUGUGGAGGAAGAGAGAAAUUUGUGAUUAUGACUACAUGAUACAUAAAGGUAGCAAUUCUAUUAAAUAAGGCCUUGAGCCUGCAAACACUUGUGCAUCUGAGUAAUUUUACUCAUGCCAAUAGUCAGAUUUAAACCAAAGCCACUAUUCAUAUGAGUAAUGUUAUGCGUGUAAAUGUUUGCAGAAUUGAGACCUAGGUGUGUAUUUAUAGCUUGCAAUAAAGCAACACAAUGUGAAUUAUCCAGGUUUUUAAAAAUCUGAAGGAUUUUGGAAGAUUUUA